Long non-coding RNA from Engraulis encrasicolus (European anchovy), 1004 nucleotides. RefSeq lists it as uncharacterized. The record is from RefSeq and is a predicted model, not a curated record. The transcript has 3 exons. Lineage: Eukaryota; Metazoa; Chordata; Actinopteri; Clupeiformes; Engraulidae.
GCAGGUGUCUGCUGGUGCGUUAGCGCGUCAGGUGACGUUUACGCACCAAUUGCCAGUGCAGAAAUCUCUUUAAAAAGAGAGCACAGGCUAUUGCAGAGUGGAUGGCGUGUUUGUGGCAGGUUUGCCUGGUAUUAUGUGUCUUCUUGGGAGCCCGAGCUUCACUGAAAAUAUGCUGUUCAUGUGAAGUAUCGAGAGUGGUUUCUCGUGGCGCUAAGAGUUAAGACUGACGAAGUCUCCAGCUAAUUGCUGGCUUGAUCCACUCGCGUAGGGUGCCCUGGUGAAGGACUGAAUGUUGUUGCGGUUUUCCCCUGCCGCGGUUGGGAGUGCAUGUGUGUCUCAUCGGUCGGGGUGUUGGCCCCCUCUUCGUCGAUGUAGCUGUUAGACGCGGCGGGCUGCUGUUUAGUGUUGGGUUAAUUACAUGUGCCGAGUGCUGGUGUGUGCGUAACGUGUGGAAGUGGCUGCGUGAGUGCGUGUCUGGUGCUAUUUUUAUACUGAUGGUGCUCUUGAAUGAGUACAUUACCUGUUCAUUGUACUUUUGUUAUCCGUUUUUGUUUGUUAUUUUCUGAUUAUGUGUUUUACCACACUGAUGCCAAGUCUCCUCCCAUUGCCCAGAUAACCUGGCUCCUCUAGCUUCCUGGUUGCAGUGUCGUAGUGCAAGGUGCCCUCUUGGUGCCGUAGUUUGAAUUUGUUGCAGUCUCAACAGAGUGGGUUGAUUUUGUGCUCCCCUAAUUAUAACUACUGUGUGCUGUGUAUUUCGGGGGUGGUUACGGUGCUUUUGUAUUUUAUUAGAGGCUCACGGGGUAUGGACAUUCUGUGGUAAUCUGGGAUAACGCAUCAGUGAUUGUGGGAACCGGUUGUUUUAUUAAUUUGUUUGAUUUCCUUGAUCUGUGUAUUCCAUUCGUGUAUACAACAUCCGAAACAUUGUUUGUUGCACUUGAACCCUUUUAUACAUCGGACAUAUUUAUAAGAACGGAAAAUAAUAAAAUAAGAUAAUUAACUGUUAC